This is a long non-coding RNA of Alexandromys fortis (reed vole), 292 nucleotides long. RefSeq lists it as uncharacterized. The transcript is spliced from 3 exons. NCBI's taxonomy places the organism in Eukaryota, Metazoa, Chordata, Mammalia, Rodentia, Cricetidae. The record is from RefSeq and is a predicted model, not a curated record.
GUACAGGGUCACCACAGAGCCACGCUAUCCUCGGAGAUGUGGUCCCUCACAGCUGCCUCCAGCUUUGCACCUGAACUAUAGGUGGCUAUCCUGGUCCUUUUGCCGGAGCUAAUUCUGGGAACUCUCUUGCUGUUCUGGGAAGCUAAUGCCCACUCUUAAGUACAAGAUGGAGGAACUUUGGUUCUUCAAAGGAAACAGGCACUGAGAAGGUUCCACGGAGACAGCCGCAAAUUCAGAGAAAACAAAGCUGGAAGCAGAAGAGGAUCAUGGGAUCAAGAGUUUAGGAACAGGG